AACGAACGCUGGCGGCGUGCCUAACACAUGCAAGUCGAGCGAGAAAGCUCCUUCGGGAGUGAGUAAAGCGGCGCACGGGUGAGUAACACGUAGGUAACCUACCCUCGAGCCUGGGAUAACCUACCGAAAGGUGGGCUAAUACCGGAUAUGACCACGGGAGCCACGGCUCCUGCGGUGAAAGAUGGCCUAAGCUUGCAAGCUAUCACUUGAGGAUGGGCCUGCGCACCAUAGCUAGUUGGCGGGGUAAUGGCCCACCAAGGCUAUGAUGGUUAGCUGGUCUGAGAGGAUGGCCAGCCACACUGGGACUGAAACACGGCCCAGACUCCUACGGGAGGCAGCAGUGGGGGAUAUUGCGCAAUGGGCGAAAGCCUGAUCCAGCGACGCCGCGUGGGUGAAGAAGGCCUGCGGGUUGUAAAGCCCUUUCAGUGGGGAAGAAAAGCCUCGAGCUAACACCUCGGGGUCUUGACGUAACCCAUAGAAGAAGCACCGGCUAACUCUGUGCC
This 503-nucleotide ribosomal RNA is filed under the name uncultured bacterium. Its description in RNAcentral is "bacterial SSU rRNA". It matches the Rfam family "Bacterial small subunit ribosomal RNA", at positions 29 to 509 of the family's 1533-position model. The record is from RNAcentral.